Xiphophorus maculatus (southern platyfish) is the source of this 1629-nucleotide long non-coding RNA. RefSeq lists it as uncharacterized. NCBI's taxonomy places the organism in Eukaryota, Metazoa, Chordata, Actinopteri, Cyprinodontiformes, Poeciliidae. The transcript is spliced from 3 exons. The record is from RefSeq and is a predicted model, not a curated record.
UCAUGUGAUGACUGGAGUUGACCAACAAUUAAAGCAGAAGAAGACCUGCUCCACCUGCUGAUCUACUGGUUGUAACAGCUUGUGGGAAAGCAUCACUGGACCAAUCAGGCAAGAGAAGACAGAGAGGACUGAGGACUAAAACGAAAAUACUCUGCCUGCCAAAAAAGGCAGACGAUCCAGUGGCCCCAGGUUUACACACCAUCUGCUGGUUUGAGGCAGACUGACCGCUGGGGAGAUGGACCUCACCUGGCACCAUUACUCUGGAUGUAACAGGUAGGUGAGCAGAAACUGAAGCUGCUGAGACAUCUCAGAAAAGUUUCAGCAUUUAAUGACGUGCGUUGGACUCUGCGUUUCUCAAAUUUGUUCUUCUGUUUCCUCAGCUCGACUCUCCUGUCAAUCAAAACAUCAAUGACUCGAGAAGCGGACAGCGAGGUUUCUGGUGCCUGGCUGGAGACGAGAUUCUGAUUAUUCAAGAGCCAAAACAAAACGUCAGAAUAAAUAGUUAGAAGGCAGAUUUGUUUUCUAUUUGUUGUUGUUUUCAUUAUUAAUGCUCCAUAACACAAAAUUCAUCAGUGCUGUAACUCUUGAGUUGAAUAAAAUGUUCUUCUUUCAAUCUGUUAUUUCUGGAGUCUUUUUAUUUUUAACCAUAAUCAUUUCUGGAAACAUUAUAUAUUAAAGGAACGCCCACAUUUUUAAUAGAACUUCAUAACUGAUCAAAGCACAAACUGGAGAACAGGUUUAAAAGAAAUGUUGUUUUAGUGUUAAUUCAUUUGUAGUUACAUAAAUACACAAUUCACAUCUUAAAAACAAACACAAGCCAGUCACACUGAAGACGUUUCCUGAUGUUGACCUUCGACCCUUAGCUUCAACUGAUUCACUGAAGGGUUGGGUAGAAAUGUUACCCAGAGAACGCUCUUUUUCCUCAUGGACUCAUAACCAGUGAAACAAACUGGAAGAACUGGAAGCUGAACCAGUUGGUGGAUCAAGUCGGUCAACUCCAAGUAGCCAACACCGAUGGCCUUUGAAGCUUCACAGCUCUGACUCUGACUUAUGAAAACCUUUCCUCCAGUUUGAGUCGAGACUGUGGAAGGUUUUUUUUUUACGGCCUGCUGCUUCUUCAGUUGCUGUGAACCAGAGUGACAAACAGGAGGAGUGAGCAGAGAGAGACGGCGCCAGUCAGGACGGCUUUCACCAGCAACACCGUCCAGCUGCCCGGCAUGAAGACAUGAGACGGACAUUACCGGCAAAAUAAUCUAUUACAAUAAGAGUUUGGCUGAAAUAUUUUUGCAACGACUGAGAAAUAUGAAAAAAACCAGAAAAAAACAAAACAUAAAAUGAUUAAGUCUGGUUCUUUGUUGACCGCUACACAGUGGUCAACAAAGAACCAAGACAGAAGCUACAAACCUUUAAGUCACCAUGCCGAGUUAUGAAACAAAAAGAAAAGCCAUAAAGCCAUGCAGUACAUGAAUCUUUUUGAUUUUAGUCUUUUUUUCAGUUUUCCUAAACGAUAAACCUAACAGUUAACAUUUGAUGAUGAUGAUGUAUUUGUUUCCCAACCAUCUGAAAUGCUGACAUUUUCAUACGUCCACUUCACAUUUAAAUGCUGCUUUGCAUUUAUCUGUUACAUAA